This 429-nucleotide ribosomal RNA is filed under the name Chloroflexota bacterium. RNAcentral describes it as "Chloroflexi bacterium partial 16S ribosomal RNA". It matches the Rfam family "Bacterial small subunit ribosomal RNA", at positions 355 to 776 of the family's 1533-position model. Lineage: Bacteria; Bacillati; Chloroflexota. The record is from RNAcentral. RNAcentral also lists the same sequence under 1 other name.
UAGGGAAUCUUCGGCAAUGGACGAAAGUCUGACCGAGCAACGCCGCGUGAGUGAAGAAGGUUUUCGGAUCGUAAAACUCUGUUGUUAGAGAAGAACAAGGACGUUAGUAACUGAACGUCCCCUGACGGUAUCUAACCAGAAAGCCACGGCUAACUACGUGCCAGCAGCCGCGGUAAUACGUAGGUGGCAAGCGUUGUCCGGAUUUAUUGGGCGUAAAGCGAGCGCAGGCGGUUUCUUAAGUCUGAUGUGAAAGCCCCCGGCUCAACCGGGGAGGGUCAUUGGAAACUGGGGGGCUUGAGUGCAGAAGAGGAGAGUGGAAUUCCAUGUGUAGCGGUGAAAUGCGUAGAUAUAUGGAGGAACACCAGUGGCGAAGGCGGCUCUCUGGUCUGUAACUGACGCUGAGGCUCGAAAGCGUGGGGAGCAAACAGG